GAUGAAGAACGUAGCGAAAUGCGAUAAGUAGUGUGAAUUGCAGAAUUCAGUGAAUCAUCGAAUCUUUGAACGCACAUUGCGCCCUUUGGUAUUCCAAAGGGCAUGCCUGUUCGAGCGUCAUUUGUACCCUCAAGCGUUGCUUGGUGUUGGGCGUCUUGUCUCUAGCUUUGCUGGAGACUCGCCUUAAAGUAAUUGGCAGCCGGCCUACUGGUUUCGGAGCGCAGCACAAGUCGCACUCUCUAUCAGCAAAGGUCUAGCAUCCAUUAAGCCUUUUUUUCAACUUUUGACCUCGGAUCAGGUAGGGAUACCCGCUGAACUUAAGCAUAUCAAUAAGCGGAGGA
This 341-nucleotide unclassified non-coding RNA is filed under the name soil metagenome. Its description in RNAcentral is "partial contains 5.8S ribosomal RNA, internal transcribed spacer 2, and large subunit ribosomal RNA". The stretch from base 1 to 120 matches the Rfam family "5.8S ribosomal RNA", at positions 35 to 154 of the family's 154-position model. The record is from RNAcentral.